RNAcentral lists this ribosomal RNA (2871 nucleotides) under Xanthomonas campestris pv. campestris str. CN17. Its description in RNAcentral is "bacterial LSU rRNA". It matches the Rfam family "Bacterial large subunit ribosomal RNA". Lineage: Bacteria; Pseudomonadati; Pseudomonadota; Gammaproteobacteria; Lysobacterales; Lysobacteraceae. The record is from RNAcentral. RNAcentral also lists the same sequence under 2 other names.
AUAAGCGCACACGGUGGAUGCCUAGGCGGUCAGAGGCGAUGAAGGACGUGGUAGCCUGCGAAAAGUGUCGGGGAGCUGGCAACAAGCUUUGAUCCGGCAAUAUCCGAAUGGGGAAACCCACUGCUUCGGCAGUAUCUUGCAGUGAAUUCAUAGCUGCUUGAAGCGAACCCGGUGAACUGAAAUAUCUAAGUAACCGGAGGAAAAGAAAUCAACCGAGAUUCCCUGAGUAGUGACGAGCGAACGGGGAACAGCCCUUAAGCUGGAAUGGCUUUAGAAAAACAAUCUGGAAAGAUUGGCCAUAGAAGGUGAUAGCCCUGUAUUUAAAAGGGCCACUCCAGUGAAGACGAGUAGGGCGGGGCACGUGAAACCCUGUCUGAAUAUGGGGGGACCAUCCUCCAAGGCUAAAUACUCCUGACCGACCGAUAGUGAACCAGUACCGUGAGGGAAAGGCGAAAAGAACCCCGGAGAGGGGAGUGAAAUAGAUCCUGAAACCGUGUGCGUACAAGCAGUAGGAGCUCGCAAGAGUGACUGCGUACCUUUUGUAUAAUGGGUCAGCGACUUACUGUUCGUGGCAAGCUUAACCGUAUAGGGGAGGCGAAGGGAAACCGAGUCUGAUAAGGGCGCAUAGUCGCGGGCAGUAGACCCGAAACCGGGUGAUCUAGUCAUGGCCAGGGUGAAGGUGCCGUAACAGGUACUGGAGGCCCGAACCCACGUCUGUUGCAAAAGACGGGGAUGAGCUGUGAUUAGGAGUGAAAAGCUAAUCGAACCCGGAGAUAGCUGGUUCUCCUCGAAAGCUAUUUAGGUAGCGCCUCGGACGAAUACUACUGGGGGUAGAGCACUGUUAUGGCUAGGGGGUCAUCGCGACUUACCAAACCAUUGCAAACUCCGAAUACCAGUACGUACUAUCCGGGAGACACACGGCGGGUGCUAACGUCCGUCGUGAAAAGGGAAACAACCCAGACCCACAGCUAAGGUCCCAAAUUCACUGCUAAGUGGAAAACGAUGUGGAAAGGCAUAGACAGCCAGGAGGUUGGCUUAGAAGCAGCCACCCUUUAAAGAAAGCGUAAUAGCUCACUGGUCGAGUCGGUCUGCGCGGAAGAUUUAACGGGGCUAAGCAGUGAACCGAAGCUUGGGGUGCGUAAAACUUCGGUUUUAUGCGCGGUAGAGGAGCGUUCCGUAAGCCUGCGAAGGUGGAUUGAGAAGUCUGCUGGAGGUAUCGGAAGUGCGAAUGCUGACAUGAGUAACGAUAAUGCGGGUGAAAAGCCCGCACGCCGAAAGCCCAAGGUUUCCUUGCGCAACGUUAAUCGACGCAGGGUUAGUCGGUCCCUAAGGCGAGGGCGAAAGCCGUAGUCGAUGGGAAGCAGGUUAAUAUUCCUGCACCUCGCGUGAGUGCGAUGGAGGGACGGAGAAGGUUAGGUGUACCGGGCGUUGGUUGUCCCGGGGAAAGGCGGUAGGUUUGGAUCUUUGGCAAAUCCGGGAUCCUUUAAGACCGAGCACCGAGACGAGCCUUUAUGGCGAAGUCACUGAUACCACGCUUCCAGGAAAAGCUCCUAAGCUUCAGCUCACGAAGACCGUACCGUAAACCGACACAGGUGGGUAGGAUGAGAAUUCUCAGGCGCUUGAGAGAACUCGGGUGAAGGAACUAGGCAACAUGGCACCGUAACUUCGGGAGAAGGUGCACCCUUUUUGGUGGCUCAUGCGAGCUAUAGCUGAAGAGGGUCGCAGAAACCAGGCCGCUGCGACUGUUUAUCAAAAACACAGCACUCUGCAAACACGAAAGUGGACGUAUAGGGUGUGACGCCUGCCCGGUGCUGGAAGGUUAAUUGAUGGGGUCAGCCGCAAGGCGAAGCUCUUGAUCGAAGCCCCAGUAAACGGCGGCCGUAACUAUAACGGUCCUAAGGUAGCGAAAUUCCUUGUCGGGUAAGUUCCGACCUGCACGAAUGGCGUAACGACAGCGGCGCUGUCUCCACCCGAGACUUAGUGAAAUUGAAAUCGCUGUGAAGAUGCAGCGUUCCCGUGGCAAGACGGAAAGACCCCGUGAACCUUUACUAUAGCUUUACACUGAACGUUGAGUUCGUCUGUGUAGGAUAGGUGGGAGGCUAUGAAACUGUGGCGCUAGCUGCAGUGGAGCCAACCUUGAAAUACCACCCUGUCGUGCUUGACGUUCUAACCUAGAUCCGUUAUCCGGAUCAGGGACCGUGUAUGGUGGGUAGUUUGACUGGGGCGGUCUCCUCCUAAAGAGUAACGGAGGAGCACGAAGGUACGCUCAGCGCGGUCGGACAUCGCGCACUGUGUGCAAAGGCAUAAGCGUGCUUGACUGCAAGAUCGACGGAUCAAGCAGGUACGAAAGUAGGUCUUAGUGAUCCGGUGGUUCUGUAUGGAAGGGCCAUCGCUCAACGGAUAAAAGGUACUCCGGGGAUAACAGGCUGAUACCGCCCAAGAGUUCAUAUCGACGGCGGUGUUUGGCACCUCGAUGUCGGCUCAUCACAUCCUGGGGCUGUAGUCGGUCCCAAGGGUAUGGCUGUUCGCCAUUUAAAGUGGUACGCGAGCUGGGUUCAGAACGUCGUGAGACAGUUCGGUCCCUAUCUGCCAUGGGCGUUGGAAGUUUGAGAGGGGCUGCUCCUAGUACGAGAGGACCGGAGUGGACGAACCUCUGGUGUUCCGGUUGUCACGCCAGUGGCAUUGCCGGGUAGCUAUGUUCGGAAGCGAUAACCGCUGAAAGCAUCUAAGCGGGAAGCGCGCCUCAAGAUGAGACUUCCCGGGGCACAAGCCCCCUAAAGGAACCAUAUAGACUAUGUGGUUGAUAGGUCAGGUGUGUAAGUACAGCAAUGUAUUGAGCUAACUGAUACUAAUGAUCCGUGCGGCUUGACC